Molecule: ribosomal RNA, 1550 nt
Filed under: Pectobacterium carotovorum subsp. carotovorum
Lineage: Bacteria; Pseudomonadati; Pseudomonadota; Gammaproteobacteria; Enterobacterales; Pectobacteriaceae
Description: bacterial SSU rRNA
Rfam family: Bacterial small subunit ribosomal RNA
Source: RNAcentral
AAAUUGAAGAGUUUGAUCAUGGCUCAGAUUGAACGCUGGCGGCAGGCCUAACACAUGCAAGUCGAGCGGUAGCACAGAGGAGCUUGCUCCUUGGGUGACGAGCGGCGGACGGGUGAGUAAUGUCUGGGAAACUGCCUGAUGGAGGGGGAUAACUACUGGAAACGGUAGCUAAUACCGCAUAACCUCGCAAGAGCAAAGAGGGGGACCUUAGGGCCUCUCGCCAUCAGAUGUGCCCAGAUGGGAUUAGCUAGUAGGUGAGGUAAUGGCUCACCUAGGCGACGAUCCCUAGCUGGUCUGAGAGGAUGACCAGCCACACUGGAACUGAGACACGGUCCAGACUCCUACGGGAGGCAGCAGUGGGGAAUAUUGCACAAUGGGCGCAAGCCUGAUGCAGCCAUGCCGCGUGUGUGAAGAAGGCCUUCGGGUUGUAAAGCACUUUCAGCGAGGAGGAAGGCGGUAAGGUUAAUAACCUUAUCGAUUGACGUUACUCGCAGAAGAAGCACCGGCUAACUCCGUGCCAGCAGCCGCGGUAAUACGGAGGGUGCAAGCGUUAAUCGGAAUGACUGGGCGUAAAGCGCACGCAGGCGGUCUGUUAAGUUGGAUGUGAAAUCCCCGGGCUUAACCUGGGAACUGCAUUCAAAACUGACAGGCUAGAGUCUUGUAGAGGGGGGUAGAAUUCCAGGUGUAGCGGUGAAAUGCGUAGAGAUCUGGAGGAAUACCGGUGGCGAAGGCGGCCCCCUGGACAAAGACUGACGCUCAGGUGCGAAAGCGUGGGGAGCAAACAGGAUUAGAUACCCUGGUAGUCCACGCUGUAAACGAUGUCGAUUUGGAGGUUGUGCCCUUGAGGCGUGGCUUCCGGAGCUAACGCGUUAAAUCGACCGCCUGGGGAGUACGGCCGCAAGGUUAAAACUCAAAUGAAUUGACGGGGGCCCGCACAAGCGGUGGAGCAUGUGGUUUAAUUCGAUGCAACGCGAAGAACCUUACCUACUCUUGACAUCCACAGAAUUUGGUAGAGAUACCUUAGUGCCUUCGGGAACUGUGAGACAGGUGCUGCAUGGCUGUCGUCAGCUCGUGUUGUGAAAUGUUGGGUUAAGUCCCGCAACGAGCGCAACCCUUAUCCUUUGUUGCCAGCGAUUCGGUCGGGAACUCAAAGGAGACUGCCGGUGAUAAACCGGAGGAAGGUGGGGAUGACGUCAAGUCAUCAUGGCCCUUACGAGUAGGGCUACACACGUGCUACAAUGGCGUAUACAAAGAGAAGCGACCUCGCGAGAGCAAGCGGACCUCAUAAAGUACGUCGUAGUCCGGAUUGGAGUCUGCAACUCGACUCCAUGAAGUCGGAAUCGCUAGUAAUCGUAGAUCAGAAUGCUACGGUGAAUACGUUCCCGGGCCUUGUACACACCGCCCGUCACACCAUGGGAGUGGGUUGCAAAAGAAGUAGGUAGCUUAACCUUCGGGAGGGCGCUUACCACUUUGUGAUUCAUGACUGGGGUGAAGUCGUAACAAGGUAACCGUAGGGGAACCUGCGGUUGGAUCACCUCCUUACCAAGAAG